RNAcentral lists this ribosomal RNA (468 nucleotides) under uncultured bacterium. RNAcentral describes it as "partial 16S ribosomal RNA". It matches the Rfam family "Bacterial small subunit ribosomal RNA", at positions 28 to 507 of the family's 1533-position model. The record is from RNAcentral.
GACGAACGCUGGCGGCGUGCUUAACACAUGCAAGUCGAACGGAAAGGCCCUGCUUUUGUGGGGUGCUCGAGUGGCGAACGGGUGAGUAACACGUGAGUAACCUGCCCUUGACUUUGGGAUAACUUCAGGAAACUGGGGCUAAUACCGGAUAGGAGCUCCUGCUACAUGGUGGGGGUUGGAAAGUUUCGGCGGUUGGGGAUGGACUCGCGGCUUAUCAGCUUGUUGGUGGGGUAGUGGCUUACCAAGGCUUUGACGGGUAGCCGGCCUGAGAGGGUGACCGGCCACAUUGGGACUGAGAUACGGCCCAGACUCCUACGGGAGGCAGCAGUGGGGAAUAUUGCACAAUGGGCGGAAGCCUGAUGCAGCAACGCCGCGUGCGGGAUGACGGCCUUCGGGUUGUAACCCGCUUUCGCCUGUGACGAAGCGUGAGUGACGGUAAUGGGUAAAGAAGCACCGGCUAACUACGUG